UGUAAGAAAAACUUUCAAAACCUCUCAAUUGUUGGCUUCCUUCCUUCUUCAACUUGAACAUUGAUCUUUCAACAAAGAUUCUUCUUUGCUUAAUUGUUCAAUUACUCCAAAUUUUGAAUUGUAUGUAUAUUUUUAAUUCUAAAUUACUCUCACUAAUUUUUGCUUCAAUAAAAUUGGCAAAUAUUGCCAAAUUUAAAAAUCCCUAAAUGAC
This 211-nucleotide long non-coding RNA is filed under the name Physcomitrium patens. RNAcentral's name for it is "long non-coding RNA (PPAT_LNC006104)". Lineage: Eukaryota; Viridiplantae; Streptophyta; Bryopsida; Funariales; Funariaceae. The record is from RNAcentral.